RNAcentral lists this ribosomal RNA (253 nucleotides) under uncultured bacterium. RNAcentral describes it as "partial 16S ribosomal RNA". It matches the Rfam family "Bacterial small subunit ribosomal RNA", at positions 524 to 776 of the family's 1533-position model. The record is from RNAcentral.
UACGGAGGGUGCAAGCGUUGUCCGGAUUUAUUGGGUUUAAAGGGUGCGUAGGUGGGCCAGUAAGUCUGAUUUGAAAGCAAGCGGCUUAACCGUUUGAUGUGGUUGGAAACUGCGGUUCUUGAAUGGGUUGGCGGUAGCCGGAAUGGGUCAUGUAGCGGUGAAAUGCAUAGAUAUGACCCGGAACACCGAUUGCGAAGGCAGGCUACUACGACUUAAUUGACACUGAGGCACGAGAGCAUGGGUAGCGAACAGG